Molecule: unclassified non-coding RNA, 377 nt
Filed under: uncultured Odontia
Lineage: Eukaryota; Fungi; Basidiomycota
Description: partial contains 5.8S ribosomal RNA, internal transcribed spacer 2, and large subunit ribosomal RNA
Source: RNAcentral
AACGCAUAUUGCACUCUCUGGCCCUCCAGAGAGUAUGCCUGUUUGAGUAUCAUUAACACACCUCGCCUCCCUUAAGGGCGCUUGUCGCCCUGGUAUAAAUAAGGGGAGCGGUUGUGAGCACUCCAGCGCUCGGGAAGCUGUUGUUGAGCAGUUGGCUCGACGGCGGCCCUAGAGCACAGGUUGCUUUAAAUGGAGCGCGAGCUGUGCAUUGCCACAUCCGACUGGCGUACUAGUUCUCUUUCGAGAUUUCAUUACGCCUACAAUAGUCUGGAUACUUGGCUGCAGCAACGCGACCCCUACUUGACGUGUGGGCGAGCCUCCCGGCCCCCCACACAACCUUUGAUCUCAAAUCAGGCAAGACUACCCGCUGAAUUUAA